RNAcentral lists this transfer RNA (88 nucleotides) under Eunotia naegelii. RNAcentral's name for it is "tRNA-Ser". It matches the Rfam family "tRNA". Rfam says of the family: Transfer RNA (tRNA) molecules are approximately 80 nucleotides in length. Lineage: Eukaryota; Bacillariophyta; Bacillariophyceae; Eunotiales; Eunotiaceae. The record is from RNAcentral.
GGAUAAGUGACUGAGAGGUUUAAAGUGCUAGUUUUGAAAACUAGUGUAAUUUAAACAAUUACCGGGGGUUCGAAUCCCUCCUUAUCCA